RNAcentral lists this transfer RNA (76 nucleotides) under Bacillota bacterium. RNAcentral's name for it is "tRNA-Ala". It matches the Rfam family "tRNA". Rfam says of the family: Transfer RNA (tRNA) molecules are approximately 80 nucleotides in length. Their secondary structure includes four short double-helical elements and three loops (D, anti-codon, and T loops). The record is from RNAcentral. Lineage: Bacteria; Bacillati; Bacillota.
GGGGCCGUAGCUCAGUUGGGAGAGCGCGUGGAUCGCACCCACGAGGUCGAGGGUUCGAAUCCCUUCGGCUCCACCA